This 75-nucleotide transfer RNA is filed under the name Klebsiella pneumoniae subsp. pneumoniae Ecl8. Its description in RNAcentral is "tRNA-Gln". It matches the Rfam family "tRNA". From Rfam's summary of the family: Transfer RNA (tRNA) molecules are approximately 80 nucleotides in length. Their secondary structure includes four short double-helical elements and three loops (D, anti-codon, and T loops). The record is from RNAcentral. Lineage: Bacteria; Pseudomonadati; Pseudomonadota; Gammaproteobacteria; Enterobacterales; Enterobacteriaceae.
GGGGUAUCGCCAAGCGGUAAGGCACCGGUUUUUGAUACCGGCAUUCCCUGGUUCGAAUCCAGGUACCCCAGCCAU